RNAcentral lists this long non-coding RNA (966 nucleotides) under Takifugu rubripes (torafugu). RNAcentral describes it as "lncRNA (ENSTRUG00000031135.1)". Lineage: Eukaryota; Metazoa; Chordata; Actinopteri; Tetraodontiformes; Tetraodontidae. The record is from RNAcentral.
AUGAUGGAGAUGAAAAUGAAAGUGGAGGAGGAGAAAUAUGUAGAGAAAUAUCAAGAUGUGCUCAAGACUCUGAAGGAAUCUGAGGUCCAACAGGAAAUCAAGUGUCGUGCACAAUCACACCAUCUGCAAAAAGUUGAAAAACAGAUUGUCAGAUUACAAAAAAAUAUGGAAAUUCUGCAUGACACCCUCAAGAAAAAAGAAAAGACAGUCCACUGGUAUGAACAGCAGCUAAGUGCUAGUUUAGAGAGAGAGAAGAACUUGGAAAUAAUGAGAACACAGAUUGAACUUGAGUGGCAAAAAUGCUGUGAGAACAUGAAGACAGAACACAACCAUAUGAAUCAGCAGCUAAUUAAAGGACUGAUCCAGAAUAAAAACCAGUGCUUGAGCCCAGCUCCAGACAAGAUCUAUAAUCUGCAGGAGUGCAAUGCAGAGUUACAGGGGGUGGUGUCUCAAAUGAGAAAAGACAUGGAGGCUUUACUGCAGUACCAGGUGCAGUCACAGGCAUCCUUGCCUUUGGAAAGUUAUCAUGGACUCCCUGCUGAAAUUUCCACUCAUCUCUCACCACAAUCCAAUUUACACAAACAAGGUGGUCUGUGGCAAAGACAAAACGACAACAGUGUUUCUUUGAUGCCAUUAGUUUGUACUGAAAAGCUCCAACAAGAGAAGCAACAUUUGAGGGUACAGCACUCUUCUCAUCUAAUUUCGGGUGAUAAAUUAAAAAAUGUGCAAGGACAUCCUGUCCCGCGUGCUAGAUUGAAGCAUGCAGCACUCUGCAUCACCCGUUUGAUCAAAGAGAAACAACACCUGAUAGAGAUGUGCAACCGCCUCCGUGGUAUGAAGUCAUCUUCUGGAUUUAAAGAGUUGGAUUUGUCCACAGAACUACGAGAACAACACGGCAGUCUCAAAAAUCUGGAGCAGCAUCAGUCCCAGAUCACUUCAAAGGUAUCUGCUUCACUUGCUGGAUGA